Molecule: long non-coding RNA, 447 nt
Filed under: Rattus norvegicus (Norway rat)
Lineage: Eukaryota; Metazoa; Chordata; Mammalia; Rodentia; Muridae
Description: long non-coding RNA NONRATT010850
Source: RNAcentral
GGGCAGGAACCCGUGGAGGUCGGAAGAGGUCAUCAGGUCCUCUGGAACUGGAGUUACAGUGGUUUUGAGCUGCUAUGUGAGUGCUAGGAAUUGAACCCUGGUCUUCUGCAAGAGCAGUAAACAUCCUUAACUGCUGAGCUGUCUCUCGAGUCCACCAGCCUUUAAACUUUAUGGAACAGUCGAGUCUGGCAUCUGCACAGCCCUCUUGAAUGACUUAUCCAGCCUUGUCAACCACAGGAAGGUGGCUCUGUCUUGUCAUACCGAAUAUGUUCUGCACUUCUGAGAACAAGAGCUAUCAAACUUCUGCUAAAUCGGUAGUAGAUCAAUUCCACUAAAUGGCCCAGCUUCAAAAUAAGUCAGUAAUGACCCUGAGGAUACCUUCUUUCUUGCCUACCCACUGGGACCUCUGCCUCCCAGGUGCUGGGAUUAAAGGCGUGUGCGUCCUGG